This 222-nucleotide ribosomal RNA is filed under the name uncultured bacterium. RNAcentral's name for it is "partial 16S ribosomal RNA". It matches the Rfam family "Bacterial small subunit ribosomal RNA", at positions 32 to 247 of the family's 1533-position model. The record is from RNAcentral.
AAUCAACGCUGGCGGCGUGCCUCAGACAUGCAAGUCGAACGAUUAAGACUCUCUUCGGAGAGUGCAUAAAGUGGCGCACGGGUGAGUAACACGUAAGUAAUCUACCUUUGGGUGGGGAUAACAGUCGGAAACGACUGCUAAUACCGCAUAAUGCAGCGGCUCCUUAUGGAGACAGUUGUUAAAGAUUUAUCGCCUAAAGAGGAGCUUGCGGCAGAUUAGCAG